GGUUACGAUCAUACCAGCACUAAAGCACUGAAUCCCAUCAGAACUCUGAAGUUAACCGUGCUUCGGCAUGAGUAGUACUAGAAUGGGUGACCUCCUGGGAAGUCCUCAUGUUGCAUUCC
This 119-nucleotide ribosomal RNA is filed under the name Hordeum vulgare subsp. vulgare (domesticated barley). The record is from RNAcentral. Lineage: Eukaryota; Viridiplantae; Streptophyta; Magnoliopsida; Poales; Poaceae.